Gasterosteus aculeatus aculeatus (three-spined stickleback) is the source of this 854-nucleotide non-coding RNA. The record is from RefSeq and is a predicted model, not a curated record. Lineage: Eukaryota; Metazoa; Chordata; Actinopteri; Perciformes; Gasterosteidae.
GUGAGACCCACGGUGUCGGGCCAUUGACCUCCUUAAUGAUGUCAUCUGCCUCGAGUUUCAGAAGCUCAUCUUCGACCUUUUGACGAAUGUGGAACGGUACACGUCGAUGUGAUUGGCAUGAAGGCUUGAUGUCAGGAUUUAUGUGAAGCUUUACCUGAAAGUCCUUCAGUUUUCCGAUCCCCUGAAACAGUUCCGGAUGAUUUUCCACCAGCUCAUCUGCGACUGUGCGACGCUGUUGUGUGGACGACACUGCUGUGACUAUUUUAAUCAGUCCCAGUGCUUUAGAUGUUUUGUAGCUGAGCACGUUAAAUCCAUCCCCUUCAACUACAAAGAAUGUGCACGUUGUGUUUUCCUGUCCUUUCUCCACACUGCACUUGAAGCUACCUUUGAGUGGUAAUGGAACUGGAGCGAAACGGGUAAAUCUUGGUGCUGGUGUGGUUCAGUUGAGGACGUGGCAUCAGUUUCUCGAAGCUUGUUUCGCUAACACAGUUUGCAGAGGCUCCUGAAUCCUGAAAAACUACCAUGCUACUGCCAUUUAACCUAAUGUGUGUCUGUGGCAGCUCUGAGACCUUUUCAGCAUCUACUACAAACACAUAAGCGUCAUCACUGUUGGAAGAGUUGCGUUCCUGUUCUUCACCUGGUGUCUUUGUUAUGUGAUGGACUUUUUUAUGGUGUUGGUUUGCCUUGUACUGUGGUUGUUUUGCGCUAAUGUCCCUGAGAGCGACAUUGUUUAGCAAAGUGAUUCAGCUUACCACAGUUUCUGCAUUGUUUGCUUCUAGCAGGACAUUCUCCUUCAUGAGGAUAUUUACCUCCACAGUUUCUGCAGCUGUUGUCUGAACGUUGUUUUUCUGACC